GCGGUGGCUUAGUGGUCGUAUGUAUGACGUCAUUUACUGGAUUUUUAGGAGUGACAUCAUAUGUACGGCUGCUAAACUGCUGC
RNAcentral lists this microRNA precursor (83 nucleotides) under Xenopus laevis (African clawed frog). RNAcentral's name for it is "mir-489 microRNA precursor family". It matches the Rfam family "mir-489 microRNA precursor family". Lineage: Eukaryota; Metazoa; Chordata; Amphibia; Anura; Pipidae. The record is from Rfam by way of RNAcentral.